This 1061-nucleotide long non-coding RNA is filed under the name Helianthus annuus (common sunflower). Lineage: Eukaryota; Viridiplantae; Streptophyta; Magnoliopsida; Asterales; Asteraceae. The record is from RNAcentral.
GUUGCUUGUCUAGUGAAGAGGACCUUGUAUUACAGCUAGGGGUGUAAACGAGCCGAGCUACUCGAGAUUGGCUAGUAAAAAGCUCGAAACAAGCCGGGCUUAAUUCAACCCAUUUAGUUUUCCAGGUAGAAGAAGCUCAGCAGAAAUGGCGUGUGGCGUUUACUAAAACGAAAAACAAGCUGAAAAUUGCAUUUUCUAAACAGUAAAAGAGGCGAACAUAGAAGAAAUCAGGUGAGUAGUGUCUGGUUAUGUUUUGUAACAGGCAUGAUGCACUGAUGCAGACUGUUAUAACUUUUCUUAUUCCGAUGCACUGAUGAAGGCAUGAUAAGCAAUCCAGCUUAACAAAGGAAACACGUACGUCUUUAGUCAACUAGUUAUUUAGUACUUCCUCUCUAACAGUCUCUUUUUGUGUUCGUUUUUAUUUCUCAGGGGCGCAGUGGUGGUGAUGUCUAUGGAGCUUACGGUAGUUGUUCUUCUGGAUGCAGUGGUAGUGCUGGGGGUUCAAGGCACAUCCCUGCUUCUAGAAGGCAGGGUUAUAAUUACUGAAGAUGAAGCCUGAAGCCAGCCUAAACAACCAGAAGACCUGUUGAACCGAACCGGUUAUGGCCCACCUUAAGAGGACAACUGAACCAGAAGACCAUGUCCCGACACUAUUUUACCAAGGUGAAGGAAAUUCAGCUUACUAGAGGCAUUGAAAAAACCACCUAAUGCUUGGUGAAGGGCUUAAAAUGUUGUGAAAAGAAGUUAUAUACAACCGUUGGUACUGGCUAGAAGAAACCUUUGGAAACCUGAGUACGAAACUGGAUAUUCAACUCUGGUUUUGUUGCAGGUUUGAUGACGUUGUUUCGUCGACGAUUUUAUGGCGGCAACGCGAUCUGCAGAUAUGUUUUGGCCUUGUAUUAACACGAUUUGCAGAUCUAUUUUUGAAACCCAAGUCUUGAAUACUAGUAGGUCCUAAAGUUAUGAAAUUUUUGUAAUUAACAACAGCCACGUUAAAGUGCUUAAUAAGAUUCUUGUUUAAUGCAGUAGAUAUAGGUUUAGGGUUAAUGCUUAUUGGAUUA